RNAcentral lists this ribosomal RNA (814 nucleotides) under Bacillus tequilensis. RNAcentral's name for it is "bacterial SSU rRNA". It matches the Rfam family "Bacterial small subunit ribosomal RNA", at positions 67 to 861 of the family's 1533-position model. Lineage: Bacteria; Bacillati; Bacillota; Bacilli; Caryophanales; Bacillaceae. The record is from RNAcentral.
CGGACAGAUGGGAGCUUGCUCCCUGAUGUUAGCGGCGGACGGGUGAGUAACACGUGGGUAACCUGCCUGUAAGACUGGGAUAACUCCGGGAAACCGGGGCUAAUACCGGAUGGUUGUUUGAACCGCAUGGUUCAAACAUAAAAGGUGGCUUCGGCUACCACUUACAGAUGGACCCGCGGCGCAUUAGCUAGUUGGUGAGGUAAUGGCUCACCAAGGCAACGAUGCGUAGCCGACCUGAGAGGGUGAUCGGCCACACUGGGACUGAGACACGGCCCAGACUCCUACGGGAGGCAGCAGUAGGGAAUCUUCCGCAAUGGACGAAAGUCUGACGGAGCAACGCCGCGUGAGUGAUGAAGGUUUUCGGAUCGUAAAGCUCUGUUGUUAGGGAAGAACAAGUACCGUUCGAAUAGGGCGGUACCUUGACGGUACCUAACCAGAAAGCCACGGCUAACUACGUGCCAGCAGCCGCGGUAAUACGUAGGUGGCAAGCGUUGUCCGGAAUUAUUGGGCGUAAAGGGCUCGCAGGCGGUUUCUUAAGUCUGAUGUGAAAGCCCCCGGCUCAACCGGGGAGGGUCAUUGGAAACUGGGGAACUUGAGUGCAGAAGAGGAGAGUGGAAUUCCACGUGUAGCGGUGAAAUGCGUAGAGAUGUGGAGGAACACCAGUGGCGAAGGCGACUCUCUGGUCUGUAACUGACGCUGAGGAGCGAAAGCGUGGGGAGCGAACAGGAUUAGAUACCCUGGUAGUCCACGCCGUAAACGAUGAGUGCUAAGUGUUAGGGGGGUUUCCGCCCCUUAGUGCUGCAGCUAACGCAUU